CUGGCGGCAGGCCUAACACAUGCAAGUCGAGCGGUAGCACAGAGAGCUUGCUCUCGGGUGACGAGCGGCGGACGGGUGAGUAAUGUCUGGGAAACUGCCUGAUGGAGGGGGAUAACUACUGGAAACGGUAGCUAAUACCGCAUAACGUCGCAAGACCAAAGUGGGGGACCUUCGGGCCUCAUGCCAUCAGAUGUGCCCAGAUGGGAUUAGCUGGUAGGUGGGGUAACGGCUCACCUAGGCGACGAUCCCUAGCUGGUCUGAGAGGAUGACCAGCCACACUGGAACUGAGACACGGUCCAGACUCCUACGGGAGGCAGCAGUGGGGAAUAUUGCACAAUGGGCGCAAGCCUGAUGCAGCCAUGCCGCGUGUGUGAAGAAGGCCUUCGGGUUGUAAAGCACUUUCAGCGGGGAGGAAGGCGGUGAGGUUAAUAACCUUGUCGAUUGACGUUACCCGCAGAAGAAGCACCGGCUAACUCCGUGCCAGCAGCCGCGGUAAUACGGAGGGUGCAAGCGUUAAUCGGAAUUACUGGGCGUAAAGCGCACGCAGGCGGUCUGUCAAGUCGGAUGUGAAAUCCCCGGGCUCAACCUGGGAACUGCAUUCGAAACUGGCAGGCUAGAGUCUUGUAGAGGGGGGUAGAAUUCCAGGUGUAGCGGUGAAAUGCGUAGAGAUCUGGAGGAAUACCGGUGGCGAAGGCGGCCCCCUGGACAAAGACUGACGCUCAGGUGCGAAAGCGUGGGGAGCAAACAGGAUUAGAUACCCUGGUAGUCCACGCUGUAAACGAUGUCGAUUUGGAGGUUGUGCCCUUGAGGCGUGGCUUCCGGAGCUAACGCGUUAAAUCGACCGCCUGGGGAGUACGGCCGCAAGGUUAAAACUCAAAUGAAUUGACGGGGGCCCGCACAAGCGGUGGAGCAUGUGGUUUAAUUCGAUGCAACGCGAAGAACCUUACCUGGUCUUGACAUCCACAGAACUUUCCAGAGAUGGAUUGGUGCCUUCGGGAACUGUGAGACAGGUGCUGCAUGGCUGUCGUCAGCUCGUGUUGUGAAAUGUUGGGUUAAGUCCCGCAACGAGCGCAACCCUUAUCCUUUGUUGCCAGCGGUUAGGCCGGGAACUCAAAGGAGACUGCCAGUGAUAAACUGGAGGAAGGUGGGGAUGACGUCAAGUCAUCAUGGCCCUUACGACCAGGGCUACACACGUGCUACAAUGGCAUAUACAAAGAGAAGCGACCUCGCGAGAGCAAGCGGACCUCAUAAAGUAUGUCGUAGUCCGGAUUGGAGUCUGCAACUCGACUCCAUGAAGUCGGAAUCGCUAGUAAUCGUAGAUCAGAAUGCUACGGUGAAUACGUUCCCGGGCCUUGUACACACCGCCCGUCACACCAUGGGAGUGGGUUGCAAAAGAAGUAGGUAGCUUAACCUUCGGGAGGGCGCUUACCACUUUGUGAUUCAUGAC
RNAcentral lists this ribosomal RNA (1447 nucleotides) under Klebsiella sp. CmMC1. RNAcentral describes it as "bacterial SSU rRNA". It matches the Rfam family "Bacterial small subunit ribosomal RNA". Lineage: Bacteria; Pseudomonadati; Pseudomonadota; Gammaproteobacteria; Enterobacterales; Enterobacteriaceae. The record is from RNAcentral.